UUAAAAACAUCAAUUUAGUAGUGUCCAUAUACAUAAAUAUCUAUGUGAAAGGGAUUACUAAUGAUACUUCUACAGAUAUAGUAUUGCUAUACAUACCAUAGGUGUGGAAACCAGGGCUUAGGUGGUUAAGUGAGUUUAGAUUUUUUUCCUGUCUCUUCUGAAAUGUGUUGGAAUGCGAAGCCUCCCCCUGAAACAGUGAACUGAUCAGACCUCUAUUGGCUAGGUUUUCUAGGUAUAUGCCCAAAGUGCUUGAAGAGCUUCAAAUUAGUGGCCACUCCUGAAAAUCUUACCUUUCAGUUUCUCUGUAGGAGGACACUUGACAAAAACACUUGCCAAAAACAAGGAUUAACUGGUACGCCAACCCUGAGCACUCCAAUACAUCACUUAUCCCCCUCUGUGCUGGAUAGCCUGUGCAUGUGUCUGAGGCAGUAUGAAAGCAGCACGCAGGAAAAAAUAAGCUAGGCAUUGCUUUGUGUGUCUUCAGACAGCAGAGACCCCUUUCUGACCUAUUCAAUGUAAAACAUUGUUCUUGCACUCUAUUUUUGAAAUCCUUCAUCAUGCCUUUCACCAUCCCCAUUGUAUUUUUACAAAGAAAUGUGUUUCCUUCCACAAGGUUUUGAUACCCGGUGCAAGAACACCCACCUGUUCUCUGCGUUCAUUUCUGCUGUGCUGCCACAACCUGCUGAUUGCAGAGGGAGCAUUUUGCUUCCAUUAUAGUUUAAAUAAAAUGAUAGGCUGGCUGCAGAGGGAAUCCAUUAGCCUUAAGCAGUCUAGUCACCGUUAAUUACAGUUUUUUAGACCUCGGAAGCUGGGUCAAAAUUCUCUGUUUUUCAGUUGAAAGCAUGCCAUUUAAACUUUAUUUUCUGUGCACCAUUCAUUCACCAUCUGCUGCUCAAAACUCAGUAGUGACUCUUCAGUGGAAAAUUCUUCCCACUUUCCAGUUUAAGCAGAGAUCAAACUUUUGCUUCCAUGAAGUUUUGACUGAGAACAAGGACAGGAGAAGGGAAAAAAAAGUUAGUGUAUUAUCAUAAAAUCAAGGUACUUUGUAAUAUAUAUGUAUAUAUUUUUUUAAGAACAGUUGAGCAUGAUUUCCUAUGUAACUUACCUGAUACAUGCGCUUUUUCCACUUUGUGCUAAAGCAUUUGGAUUGUAUAAAUUUUAAGAUUGCUGUGGUAAUGGUUUGUGACAGGAGUGGAAAAACUGAUCUGUGACUCUUCAAAAGCCUCUUGGAAGGUUUGAAUUUGGAGGAAGGAUGGUAAAAAGGGAGUAUGUACAGUGCCUUUUGUGUGUGUGUAUGUGAGGAAAUGGCCUUUAAACACUCUGCUCAGCUUUUUGACAUCUGCAAGAUUAAUAAGCAACGUUCGGUAGCAAGUUCAGAUUUCUGAUUCCCUACUUUAUCUUGCUUUUAUUACAGUACCUUUUAAUUUGACAAGAUUCACUUUAAGGGAAGGUCAAUUAAUUAAUGUCUUGGCAUUGAAUAUUGACAAUAUAAAUUGUUGAGGCAAAAAAUCUGUUGAGAUUGUAUGGUCAUACUGUAAUGUGGGGAAGGAAUCCUUAGCAUACAUUUAUUUUUAAAGCAGCUGAAAGACAUACUUGCAUACUAUCAACAUCUUCUCAAGUGCAUUUAUUCCAGUACACCCACAUAAAAAGUAGGGAGAGAUCUUAUUUAAAAACCAUUACAAAGACAUAACUAUUGAAUUCGGGUUGCCAGAGAGAUCAUUUAAGAAGGAAAACGAUGGUCUCUCAACAAUAAGAUAAUGCCAUGGGGAUGGAUGAUUAUCAUGAGAUAAUUUUAUUCCUGAGUAUUGUAAAUCUCAGCUGCUUUCCCUUCCAACCCCAGCACCUUGGGGUAUGAGAGCUUAUCAUAAUCUAUUCUCUGCUGUGCAUCCAAGCCAAAACAUUAGAGUAUAAGCUAUCACUUCAAAACGCAUCUUGUUUCCUUGGACCUCACUGGUGG
This 1957-nucleotide long non-coding RNA is filed under the name Anas platyrhynchos platyrhynchos (common mallard). RNAcentral describes it as "lncRNA (ENSAPLG00000024473.1)". Lineage: Eukaryota; Metazoa; Chordata; Aves; Anseriformes; Anatidae. The record is from RNAcentral.